RNAcentral lists this ribosomal RNA (257 nucleotides) under uncultured bacterium. Its description in RNAcentral is "partial 16S ribosomal RNA". It matches the Rfam family "Bacterial small subunit ribosomal RNA", at positions 524 to 776 of the family's 1533-position model. The record is from RNAcentral.
UACGUAGGGGGGCAAGCGUUGUCCGGAUUUAUUGGGCGUAAAGAGCGUGUAGGCGGUUUGGUAGGUCCGCUGUGAAAACUCGAGGCUCAACCUCGAGACGCCGGUGGAAACCAUCAGACUAGAGUCCGGAAGAGGAGAGUGGAAUUCCUGGUGUAGCGGUGAAAUGCGCAGAUAUCAGGAAGAACACCCCGUGGCUAAGGCGGCUCUCUAGUACGGUACUGACGCUGAGACGCGAAAAGCGUGGGGGAGCGAACAGG